This is a long non-coding RNA of Drosophila bipectinata, 508 nucleotides long. RefSeq lists it as uncharacterized. The record is from RefSeq and is a predicted model, not a curated record. NCBI's taxonomy places the organism in Eukaryota, Metazoa, Arthropoda, Insecta, Diptera, Drosophilidae.
UCCCACUAAGAUUUUAAAGUUCUUUCAGUCGCUAAGGCACUUUUAAGACCAAAGGAACGUAGCUCUGAAAAACUAUCAAAAAUAAUAAAUAUAGAUCGGAAUUAAAAUCAACGCGAAAAGUUCUUUAUUCUUGUUGUUGAAAAAAGUUUGAAUAUGGUAAAAAUAGUCAUCAAUAAAAAUUUGCUAACCAAAUCGAUGGAAGGAAAUAAAGUAAAAUUAUCCAUAAAACUGAAAUUGACGCGAAGAAAGCGUAUUGCUCCUAAAUUAAUCGAAAGGAAGACAUUAAUCAUAAUGAUAAGAUUAGGACAACAUGGAAUCAGAGAAUUGGAAAAAAAUAAAACGUAUACAAUUCGUAGGAAGAUUAAAACAUUAUUCUUUAAUGAAUAACUCACCAGAAAAUUGAAAGCCAUAAUGAUAAGAUUAAGAAGACACACAGAUUUUCCAUAACUUCAUAAAUGAGAAAAUCAUUAAGAAAAAAAAUAUAUUCAACGCAAAAAAAAAGCAAGAU